RNAcentral lists this long non-coding RNA (4662 nucleotides) under Homo sapiens (human). RNAcentral describes it as "non-protein coding lnc-HIST1H2AI-1:9". The record is from RNAcentral. Lineage: Eukaryota; Metazoa; Chordata; Mammalia; Primates; Hominidae.
CCCGCCCCCGACACCCGCCGCCACACAAAGGCGCUGCGUCCUGGCGGCCAGCGGGGGCUUAGUCUAGGCCCGGCAGGGUUUUCUGGAAGACCAGAGGGCCACCAGGUCACCGAGGUGGGAAGUGAAGAGAGGUUCGACGCUGCCUCAGGCCUGGGCCUGGCCGGUGGGAGACACAGCAAGGACUCUGGGAGCCUGCAGAGCAGAGGCCGCCGCGGGGCCGGGCCCCCGUCUCCUCCUCAGGUCCAAGACCAGAGGGUCUGCAGGGCCCCAGAGCAGCUGGCCGCGCUCCGCUUCCCACCGCGCUCUCUGCUGGAACUCAUGUGGUUGUUUAUCCUUAUUUUGCUAAAUUUCUUUAUUUGCUGUAACAGUUUGUGUGUGUGUGUGUUUGAGUGUGUGUGUGUAAUUUUCAGGGUUUUCUAUAUAUAAAAAUCAUGUCACGGCCAGGCUUGGUGGCUCACACCUGUAAUCCCAGCACUUUGGGAGGCCAAGGUAGGAGGAUCGCCUGAGCCCAGGAGUUCGAGACCAGCCUGGGCAACACGGGCAACAUAGCGAGACCCUAGUCUCUAAAAUUUUUUUUAUUAGCCGGGCAUGGUGGCAGGCGCCUGUGGUCCCAGUUACUCCGGAGGAUGAGGCAGGGUAAUCGCUUGAACCAGGGAAGUCGAGGCUUCAGUGAGGCAUAAUUGCUCUGCUGCAUCCCAGCCUGGGUGACAAAGAGAGAUCCCAUCUCUCUCUCAAAAAAAAGUCAUGUUAUCUGUGAACAUAGAUAAUUUUACUUUUUCCUUGCCAAUACUGUGCUGAAUAACAUGGUGAAAGUGGGCACCCAUUAUUCCUGAUUGUAGGAGAAAAAUUUUCAGUCUUUCGCUGUUGAGAAUGAUAUUAGUUGUAUGUUUUUCAUAAUUGGGCAUUAUCAAGUUGAGGAAGUUUCCUUCUAUUCCUGGUUUACAUUGUGUGUGUGUGUGUGUUUUGUUUGUUUGUUUUGACAGAGUCUUGCUCUGUCACCCAAGCUGGAGUGCAGUGGCCGCGAUCUCGGCUCACUACAGCUUAGACCUCCAGGGCUCAAGCAAUCCUUCGACUUCAGCCUGCCAAGUAGCUAGGACCAUAGGCGUACAGCACCACAUUUAGAAGUCCCUGAGAAAAUUAUCUUGGAGGAAAACUCGCAAGUCCGACUAUUGGUUUUCCAAGGAAGCCAGUCUCGCCUGUGAGGAGGGAUCCUGCUCGCCCUGGGAGCCUACUCAGACACCAUGGGGAAUGGGGGGUGGGGCUCAGAGCGCGCAGGCUUGGUUUUUUUCCCCCUCCGAACUCCUGAGUUCCAGUGAUCUGCCUGACUCAGCCUCCCACAGUGCUGGGAUUACAAGUGUGAGCCACUGCGCCUGGCCUAUUACUUGUUUUAAUAAUAACAAAAAACAGCAAAAUCUUGCAGAAGGUUGGAAGGUAACCAAGCAGCUUAGCUUCAAACCACGUUUUAAAAACUUUGUUUCUUUUCUUCUUUCUCCCCAGUUUCUAGACAUAGCUUUGAGACAAACUGCAGAUGUGCUUUCUUUUGUCGUCAAUUACUGCCUUGGAAUGGGCAUUAAAACUGCCUUCCCUUUCGCAUCUUAUGCCCCCAUGCCUUAUGCUCAUUUAUUUACCUGGAUGCUUGUUAAGCUCAUACCAUGCCCACUUAUCUGGUCAUAUAUUUCCUUAGAAGCUUCAGGGGCUGAAUCCUGAUGCAGACCAGACAUCUCCAGAAUUCUCUCUCCAGUAGGAGAUUAAUUCAAGGACAAUAUUCACUCUUGGCUAGAGAUUAUCUGCAAGAUUGACUGUCAUUAAUUUGUAACUUGAUUGGGCCUACAAUGUCACUGGCCCCUUCACCAGGUGAAACAAUAAUUCAAGAUAAGCCAUCAGAAUGAGACACCCACUGGGCACCUCCUGCCUCUUGCCCCUCUGCAUUACAAGCUCCUCUCCUUGAAAUGCUUGGCCUCUCUCCAGAAAUUGGAGAGUGGCAAAUUUUGGCCAGCCACUCUCCCCAUUGCUAGCAUGGAUAAUAAAACUUACUCUAUUUUUAAUUACACCUCAUUCCUUUUUUUUUCUUUUUUUUUUUUUUUUUUUUGAGAUGGAGUCUCACUCUGUUGCCCAGGCUGGAGUGCAGUGGCACGAUCUCAGCUCACUGCAGCCCUGCCUCCUGGGUUCAAGCGAUUCUUCUGCCUGAGCCUCCUGAGUAGCUGGGAGUACAGGCGCACGCCAGCACACCCAGCUAAUUUUUGUAUUUUUAGUAGAGACGGGGUUUCACCAUAUAGGCGAGGCUGGUCUCAAACUCCUGACCUCGUGAUCCGUCCGCCUCGGCCUCCCAAAGUCCUGGGAUUACAGGCAUGAGCCACCACGCCCGGCCUCAUUCUUGUUCUUUUGGCUUUUUUCUACAAGUGACAAUCAGCCAGACCCUCUUUCAGCUACAGGAAGAGUUUGAUAAAGAGAAUGCCUGAGCUCAAUCUUGUGUGUUUUAAGGAAACAGAAAAAAAGGGAAAAGAAAAAGUCUUUUCCUGCCUUGUACCUCUGUCUAACUAAAAAGAGAGGCAGCUUCCUCACAGAAAAAUAUCACUGAUCUUAAAACUGAAUUCAAAGAACUGAAGAAGGAAGUUUCUAGUGUUUCACUUCUGUGGAUUUGGCCCAGAAAAAUCCACAGAGAAGGUGUUAAAGUCAGGUAAUUUAUCCUGCAUCCCUUAGAAAGCCCUAGAGCCAAUCAAAACUCUCCCCAAAGGGCUGAAAUCAGGCUCUGAGGGUUGUGGGAGUGACAGAGCCAUGUAAGCUCUCUGGAUUCACAGGUUUAGGUCACUGCUGAUGGAUUCAAUUACUAUGGGAGGACAUUUCAUGCUGUCUAAUUUUCAUUCAAUUGGAUGAUUCUCCCAAAUCCUUCGUUCUUUACCAUAAGUUUACUCAUUAUUUUAGCUUUACCUCAAGGCACUUUCCCCUGGGAAUUUUUCUGAGACCAGUGUGAGUUAGGUGUACUUCCUGUGUUUUGAUUUGUCAUACUAAAAAUCUUACAAGUAUGAAUUUCUACAUGAAAUAAAGGUAAGAUCUUAAUCUUAACAAUCUAGGUCUUAGAUUUCACGGUAUGGGCAUUAAACAAGUGUUUAUUUCUGUAUAGCCUUUUUGAUGAGUACCCAGCAAUCCCACUUCUACGAAUGUCUAUCAGUGAAAUUCCAGCUUAGCUCUGUAGUGGCUUCAUAGAAUCCAGUCAUUGCAGCAAUUUCAGGCAGCAGAGAGUUGGGGCAACCUGCAUGUCCAUCACCAGAAUGAGUCUAGGGGUCAGAAAUCUGCAAUCAGUUUCGGUGGACCAAAAUGAAAAUGUCAAACAGGGUGUCUGACACCCUCCAGAAGCACCAGAGGAGAAGCAGCUUUCCUUGGCCUUCCCAGGUUCUACAGGGACAUUCCUUGGCUCAUAGCUCCCCCUCCCAUUUUCUUUCUUUCUUUUCUUUUCUUUUCUUUUCUUUUCUUUUCUUUUUUUUCUUUUUUUUUUUUUUGAGACAGAGUCUCGCUCUGUCACCCAGGCUGGAGUGCAGUGGCGCCAUCUCGGCUCACUGCAAGCUCCGCCUCCCGGGUUCACGCCAUUCUCCUGCCUCAGCCUCCCGUAGCUGGGAUUACAGGCACCCGCCACCACGCUCGGCUAAUUUUUUGUACUUUUAGUAAAGACGGGGUUUCACCGUACUAGCCAGGAUGGUCUCGAUCUCCUGACCUCGUGAUCAGCCCGCCUCGGCCUCCCAAAGUGCUGGGAUUACAGGCGUGAGGCACCGCGCCCGGCCUCCUCCUCCCGUUUUCAAAGUCACCAGCGUAGCAUCCUGAUUCAAGAUCACAUUGUCUUCUUUUUUUUUUGUAGCCAAAUCUCCCUCUGCCUCUCUCCCCUGGUGACGACAAUGGCUGGGGUCUUGACUUGCCAAGAUCUGGAAACGGAGAAGGGACUGGAUCUCCAAACUUGGACUGCCUUGGACUGACCCUGGCCUGGAAGGUGUGGGCUCAGGACUCCGAGCUCAAGUCAGUCUGUUCCCCCAACCCCUAACCCACUGCAUCCGGGUGAGGAGUUGGGCCCGAGCGCCACAGCGCAGAUAGGGUUGUUAGGAGCGAAAGACUGGAGACCCAGGGACUGUGGGGCUGGGCUGGUGGGGCCACUGCUACCGACUAAGCAGUACGGGCCGCCUGGAAGACCGAAGGCGGAGUUCGCUGAUGCGGAAGCCAAGGCACAGGGCAAUAAGGAUCCGCGCCAUUUCUUGUGAUGUCACCUGAAGCCUUGGCGGGUAGCUGCCUCUCAUCCAUUCGGAGGACAGGGCUCCAGCCACCGGCAGCUCUGAAAGAGUUUGAAGAAUUUAUUGUUCACAGAUGGUAUUUAAAUGGACUUAUUUCUAAAAGUCACAUUCCUUUAUUACUUAUUUGUUAUUAGAAGUACCCAUUUUCAUAUGUGUUUAAAACUAUUUGUGUCUCAAAUUCUCAGGAGAUUGAUGCAUCCCAGUUUACUCUUUUUGGCAUAUGUUUUUACUCAUAAAUUAGGUUAAAUUUCAUACUUGUUUUAUAAAAUUUAGUUAUUUGGUUACAUUAAAAUAUUUGUAUCCAGAUAAGAAGUCUCUUCCUUCUCCUAUGCUUUUUUUGGAAUUUAGAGCAUAUCUGAAAUAAAAUUAAUUUACUUUUUAUUACUAA